UACAGAGGGUGCAAGCGUUAAUCGGAAUUACUGGGCGUAAAGCGUGUGUAGGCGGCCGCGUAAGUCGGAUGUGAAAGCCCUGGGCUCAACCCAGGAAGUGCACUCGAUACUGCGUGGCUCGAGUACUGGAGAGGUUGGUGGAAUUCUCGGUGUAGAGGUGAAAUUCGUAGAUAUCGAGAGGAACACCGGUGGCGAAGGCGGCCAACUGGACAGAUACUGACGCUGAGACACGAAAGCGUGGGGAGCAAACAGG
This 253-nucleotide ribosomal RNA is filed under the name uncultured bacterium. RNAcentral describes it as "partial 16S ribosomal RNA". It matches the Rfam family "Bacterial small subunit ribosomal RNA", at positions 524 to 776 of the family's 1533-position model. The record is from RNAcentral.